Molecule: ribosomal RNA, 225 nt
Filed under: uncultured bacterium
Lineage: Bacteria
Description: partial 16S ribosomal RNA
Rfam family: Bacterial small subunit ribosomal RNA
Source: RNAcentral
AGUAACGCGUGGAUAACCUGCCUCACACUGGGGGAUAACAGUUAGAAAUGACUGCUAAUACCGCAUAAGCGCACAGCACCGCAUGGUACAGUGUGAAAAACUCCGGUGGUGUGAGAUGGAUCCGCGUCUGAUUAGCCAGUUGGCGGGGUAACGGCCCACCAAAGCGACGAUCAGUAGCCGACCUGAGAGGGUGACCGGCCACAUUGGGACUGAGACACGGCCCAA